Molecule: ribosomal RNA, 620 nt
Filed under: Pseudomonas parafulva
Lineage: Bacteria; Pseudomonadati; Pseudomonadota; Gammaproteobacteria; Pseudomonadales; Pseudomonadaceae
Description: bacterial SSU rRNA
Source: RNAcentral
CGAGCGGAUGACGGGAGCUUGCUCCCRGAWUCAGCGGCGGACGGGUGAGUAAUGCCUAGGAAUCUGCCUGGUAGUGGGGGACAACGUUUCGAAAGGAACGCUAAUACCGCAUACGUCCUACGGGAGAAAGCAGGGGACCUUYGGGCCUUGCGCUAUCAGAUGAGCCUAGGUCGGAUUAGCUUGUUGGUGAGGUAAUGGCUCACCAAGGCGACGAUCCGUAACUGGUCUGAGAGGAUGAUCAGUCACACUGGAACUGAGACACGGUCCAGACUCCUACGGGAGGCAGCAGUGGGGAAUAUUGGACAAUGGGCGAAAGCCUGAUCCAGCCAUGCCGCGUGUGUGAAGAAGGUCUUCGGAUUGUAAAGCACUUUAAGUUGGGAGGAAGGGUUGUAGAUUAAUACUCUGCAAUUUUGACGUUACCGACAGAAUAAGCACCGGCUAACUCUGUGCCAGCAGCCGCGGUAAUACAGAGGGUGCAAGCGUUAAUCGGAAUUACUGGGCGUAAAGCGCGCGUAGGUGGUUUGUUAAGUUGGAUGUGAAAGCCCCGGGCUCAACCUGGGAACUGCAUCCAAAACUGGCAGGCUAGAGUACGGUAGAGGGUGGUGGAAUUUCCUGUGUAG